Molecule: ribosomal RNA, 502 nt
Filed under: uncultured bacterium
Lineage: Bacteria
Description: bacterial SSU rRNA
Rfam family: Bacterial small subunit ribosomal RNA
Source: RNAcentral
GACGAACGCUGGCGGCGUGCUUAACACAUGCAAGUCGAACGGACGAGUGAGAUAAGUUUACUUAACUCACAAGUUAGUGGCGGACGGGUGAGUAACACGUGGAUAAUCUACCUGCAACACCGGGAUAACGCUGUGAAAACGGUGCUAAUACCGGAUACGUUCCCUUGUGCGCAUGUAUGAGGGAAGAAAGCUCAGGCGGUUGCAGAUGAGUCCGCGGCUGAUUAGCUAGUUGGUGAGGUAAAGGCUCACCAAGGCGAUGAUCAGUAGCCGGCCUGAGAGGGUGAACGGCCACACUGGGACUGAGACACGGCCCAGACUCCUACGGGAGGCAGCAGUGGGGAAUCUUCCGCAAUGGGCGCAAGCCUGAUCCAGCCAUGCCGCGUGAGUGAAGAAGGCCUUCGGGUUGUAAAGACUCUUUUGGUCGGGGACGAUAAUGACGGUACCGCCAGAAUAAGCCCCGGCUAACUUCGUGCCAGCAGCCGCGGUAACGGAGUAGUACACG